Molecule: non-coding RNA, 726 nt
Organism: Loxodonta africana (African savanna elephant)
Lineage: Eukaryota; Metazoa; Chordata; Mammalia; Proboscidea; Elephantidae
Source: the annotation of a RefSeq genome assembly
GCAGGUGGGCAUGUGGCCUCACUGCUGAGCAGAUGCCAGCCUAGGAUGGGGGCCAAGACUUCCCCAUCACAGCUGCAGGUGGGUUGGGAGAAGGGAGGCUGGGACUGGGGCAUCACAGAGAGGGUUUUUGUACGAGCCUAUGUCACGGUGUUGGGUGUUCGGCGGAGGGACCCAGCUGACCAUCCUAGAUCAGCCCAAGGCCUCGCCCUCAGCCACUCUGUUCCCGCCGUCUUCUGAAGAGCUCCAGGACAACAAGGCCACACUGGUGUGUCUCAUAAGUGACUUCUACCCGGGCACCGUGGUUGUGGCCUGGAAGGAAGAUGGUAACGCCAUCACCCAGGGAGUGCAGACCACCAAGCCCUCCAAACAGAGCAACAACAAGUAUGCUGCCAGCAGCUACUUGACCCUGACGCCUGCCCAGUGGAAGUCUCAUAACAGCUACAGCUGCCAGGUCACACACGAGGGGAGCACUGUGGAGAAGAAGGUGGCCCCUGCAGAGUGUGCUUAGGGACCUGAGCUUCCGUACCCAGGAGGGCCCAGAGGGGCUAGACUCUGGGUAGGGAUUCUCCCAUCCACACACCCCUUCUCCCACAACUCCCCACAGUGUCCCUACACCCCCACCCUGCGUCAGCUCAGACCUGGGUGGACCCUACAACCUCCCCAUGUCUAUUUCUUCUCAGUAAAGAUCUGACAUUAUCAUCCAAUGUGUCCGAUGAUCAUCUGUGU